Molecule: ribosomal RNA, 253 nt
Filed under: uncultured bacterium
Lineage: Bacteria
Description: partial 16S ribosomal RNA
Rfam family: Bacterial small subunit ribosomal RNA
Source: RNAcentral
UACGAAGGGGGCUAGCGUUGUUCGGAUUUACUGGGCGUAAAGCACACGUAGGCGGGUCGUUAAGUCAGGGGUGAAAUCCCGGAGCUCAACUCCGGAACUGCCUUUGAUACUGGCGACCUUGAGGCUGGAAGAGGUUAGUGGAAUUCCCAGUGUAGAGGUGAAAUUCGUAGAUAUUGGGAAGAACACCAGUGGCGAAGGCGGCUAACUGGUCCAGAUCUGACGCUGAGGUGCGAAAGCGUGGGGAGCAAACAGG